AAGUCGUAACAAGGUUUCCGUAGGUGAACCUGCGGAAGGAUCAUUACAAAAUCCAAAACUAAAACACAAUCUUGUGCUCUUGAUUCUAUUAUCGCUCUCAAGAUAAAAAAGAGAUCAGAGCGAGUGGAGUAUUUGAAUAUAAGGUCUUUGCGGUCGGUGCUCUCGUGGCCAUUAGACCACAAACUCUUUCUUUCAGUACACCGAAGCUUGUUCUCCUCUUUUCUUGGGGCAUAAUAUGUCUUUUAUCUUUUUUACUUUAAAAAACUCCUUGUUGGCCGUCAAAGCCAACCACAGCAAAAAGGAAUAACAAUGUUACAACUUGAGAACAAAAAAAAUAAACAAAAUGACAACUUUUAACGGUGGAUCUCUUGGCUCGU
This 377-nucleotide unclassified non-coding RNA is filed under the name fungal sp. RNAcentral describes it as "partial internal transcribed spacer region". The stretch from base 1 to 46 matches the Rfam family "Eukaryotic small subunit ribosomal RNA", at positions 1786 to 1831 of the family's 1831-position model. Lineage: Eukaryota; Fungi. The record is from RNAcentral.